UGAAGUUAUCAAUUUAAUUUUUUAUUGAAAAAAUAUGGUGUCUCCAUAAAAAAAGCCAAUGUGGCUGAAUUUGGUUACUGAACCGGCUAAACAUGGCUCGAAUUAUGUCGAAUUACUUUGAGAUAUACCAGUAGGUAUAUUAUUCACAAUUCAUGAAAUCUCGACGUUAAUAAAACGAUAUUCUUCAGAAUUUCAUUUACUUCAUAUUUGUUUCAAAGGAAUGCAAGUCCUUGCAUUCUGUUAUAAAAUUUGAAUUUUUGACUACAAUCUACAAUUUUGAGAGCGAAUAUCGCCGUUUGAUAUAAAAGUGACCUCGUCGUGCAAGGCAAAAGUUAAAUAUCUUCCUUUUGUUUUCAUCAUUGAGAGGAAUUAACAAUUUGAGUUUGUAAAAAGAUUUCACUCAAUUUUUAUGAAGAAUGUUUUCUUAAGUUCUCCACGAAGCCUAUCUAAUUUUAGUAACAUUUCACAGGACCAAAAACAAAUUAAUUUUGUAAGACGUGUGACAAAAUUUCAAUAACAUUGGAUAUUGUACACAACCUCAUAUGAAAAUGUGUCUAGAAUAAAGUACUGUUAAAAAUGA
Molecule: long non-coding RNA, 580 nt
Organism: Leptinotarsa decemlineata (Colorado potato beetle)
Lineage: Eukaryota; Metazoa; Arthropoda; Insecta; Coleoptera; Chrysomelidae
Source: RefSeq, a predicted model, not a curated record